CCUCGGGCCCCGCGACUGGCGUUUUUUCCUCGGCGCGUCUGAGAGCCUACGAGUUCCCCUCUGGGCCUCCCAGCUUCUUUUAGUUAAGGAGUCCUCGAGGCCUAGCGUGCUGGUUACCAGAGCUUCUAGAAGCGGCUUGCCGGCUCCUGGCAUUUUCCGGGCCAGACUGGUUCUGAGGACGCGUCAGGGAGACCCGUUGGACCCAGGUCUAGCGUUGCCUUCGUUCGGCCAGCGCCCGGGAGCUCGACUCCAGAUUCCCUGGGGCUGGAGAAGCCGUUGUUUCAUCCGUCGGGGCCAGAGGUGCAGAUGACUAAGAGGUUGUUUUUCGUCCAGAAUUCUACAGUUUGUUGUCCUUACGAGGAGUCUCCUGAUUUGGCCUUAUGGGGGAUUUGCUACACCUGGGAUCUAGGACCUGUAUCUCUAGAAUUACAGAAAUGGAUUCUUUUGUGAUUUAUAUUUAAUGAACGUGUCAACUUCCAAGAUUAAUCAUGAAAAUUUUGAUUUGGAAGAGACCCUUUGUUUGGAAUAUGUUUGCCCCAGAUAUCUUCAUGGCUUAUUCUCUACCAAAAUGGAUUCUGUGGGACUGCCCUUUUAUUUUGUUAUAAUUGGUCCACUUUCUGGUUUUUUCCUUUCCCUUCAUUUGGAAGCGCUGUUAGAAAUGUUUACAGUACACUUACUCCUCACAAAAGCCCUGUGAAGUAGACAUUAUUAACUCCUUUUUAAGGAUGCUGCUAAUAAAAGCCAGAAUGUGUUAUGAAGGUACAACCCAAGCUGCAACUUCACUCUUCAGCAGCAGGAACUACUCUCUAAUGUAUGAUGUACUCCAGAUUGAAAAUUCCUCAAGUGAAAUGCUUGAGAUUAAGUAAGGUGUCCUUAUAAGAAGAGGAACAGACGCCAAGGAUGCAUGUACACAGAGAAGAGACCAUGUAAGGAUACAUUGAAAAGGUGGCCAUCUGCAGGCCAAGAAAAGAGGCCUUAGGAGGAACCAAACCUGCUGACACUUUGAUCUUGGAUUUCUAGCACCUAGAACUAUGAGAAAAUAAAUUUCUGUUGUCUGAGCCACCCACUGCCAUCUCCAGGGAAUAGCUGGGUGAAUAUAUUUGCAAGUAACUAUUCUUUUUCCUUUCCUAUAUAUACUGGUUAAAAUUGUAGGUCUCACAGGUUAUCAAAAGUUCAGAAACAGAUAUAAGUAUACAUAUAAGAACAUGCAAUAUAGUAAAAUACUUAAAAAGUCAGUAGGGGUAAGGAUGAGUUAAUUAAGAAAUAGUAUUGGAGAAUCACUUGAAAAAACAACAUUUAACUCCCUUACCUCACAGAUUAUACAAAAAAUUAACUUCAGAUGGAAUAAAGAUUUAAAUGUUGAAAAAGAAACAUGGAAAUACUAAAAUAUAAAGAUUAACAUUUUAAUGUAAUCCAGGGUACAGAAGCCAUGUUUAAACAUAUGUAAACAUAAGUACUAAAAGAAGAAACUUUUAAAAAUGGAAAAAAUUGAUAGAUUUGAUUGCAUAAAAAGUGUGGUUGGUCCUGGCAGAGUGGACAGGACCAUUUGUGGUCCAGUGCUCAACAUUUGUGAAUUCAAGGAAGAACUUAUAAUAAUUAAACAUGUUCUUUCCAGGUAUAUUUGAGGGCAAACAACAUGGAACAUAUAAACUGGUCUCAAGAGACAUUUUGGAUCAUCUGGUAAAGACAAUUAUAGCAGAUUACAACCAUCUUCUGAAGUCUUGGAGACAGUCCCCAAGGAACUUUUGGGAACACAUGAAGGUGACGUUAGAAUGCUGGUGAAAGCUGAGGUCGUCACUGUCCAUGCAGGAUAUGAAGUAGAAGCCUCAAACCCUGUGAUGGCAGGAUAUCACACACAGUGAAGAUGAGAGGUCUUCUUUUCCUGGACCAUUCAAGGAUGAACAUCAUCUGAGAAGUUAUCCCUCUGUAAUUCUAGAGAGAAAGAGAUGGAGCUGCAGCUAACCAGGCCUUCCAUCCAGGUACUGCCUCAUUGGUCUAAGUAUGGGCAGCUGACCCAAGUGGAGCUGUUCUGGGAAUAUAUUCAACAGAAUCAGACUGAGGGAUUGAGCUUCAGUCUAGUUACUCUCUUGAGUGAAAGAGACUUUUAAAGGUAGGAGCUCUUGGCAACCAUAUUCUGCCCUAUAGACUAAAACAAGAGAGAGUAAAUUAGAGAGCAAAGAGAAUAAAGUAGAAAUGAGAGACAAAGAAUGGCAUUUAAGUUCUUGGAUCCAGCUGUUAUUGAAGCCACACUGCACUUUCUGUCCUUGGUUUCAUGAGACAUCCUAAUACCCUUCUAAUAAAUUCCUUCUUUUAGCUUAGGCUUCAGUUGGUUUUGUUUUCUGUUAUAGGCAACUAAAAGUGUUCUAAUUGGUACAGUCACCAGUUUGUUUCACAGGAUAGUGGAAGAGCUCUCUCUUUCUCAUAUAUAUGAUUUUUUAUUAGAUACUUUUUUUAUUGUGGUAAAAAAGGUAAUAUGAAACUUACUAUCUUAACCAUUUUAAGUGUACAGUUCAGUAAUGUUAAGUAUAUUCACAUUCUUGUGAAAAAAAUCUCCAAAACUUUUUCAUUUUGCAAAUCUGAAACUAUACCCAUUAAACAACAACUCCGUAUCCUUUCCCCUUGGCCCCAGCUCCUGGUAACCAUCAUUGUACUUUGUUUCUAUGAAUUUGAUUACUUCAGAUACUUUAUAAGUGGAAUCAAAUGGUAGGAUCAAAUAAUAUUUAUCUUUCUGUGACGGGCUUCACUUAUAGCAUAAUAUCCUGAAAAUUCAUCCAUGUUGUAGCAUGCAAAAGGAUUUCCUUCCUUUUUAAGGCUGAAUAACGUUGCAUUGUAUGUAUACCACAUUUUGUUUAUCCAUUCGUCUGCUGGUGGACAUUGGGGCUGCUUCCUCCUCUUGGUUAUCGUGAAUAAUGCUGCUGUAAACAUGGGUGUGCAAAUAUAUCUUUGAGACACUGCUUUCAGUUUUUUCAGUCCCACAGAAAUGGGACUGCUAGAUCAUUUGGAAGUUCUAUUUUAAGUUUUUUGAGGAACCUCCCAUACUGUUUUCUAUAGUGGUUGCACCAUUUUACAGUCUCACCAUCAUACACAAGUAUUCCAAUUUCUUCUCAUCCUCACCAACACUUGUUGUUUUCUGUUGUUGUUGUUGUUAGUAGCCAUUCUAAUUAGUAUGAGGUGAUAUUGGGGUUUCCGUUUACAUUUCUCUGAUGAUUAGGGAUGUUGAACAUCUUUUCAUAUACUUGUUGGCCAUUUUGUAUAUCUUCUUUGGAGAAAUGUCUGUUCGAGUCCUUUGCCCAUUUUUUAACCAAGUUAUUUGACUCUUUCAUUGUUUAAUUAUAGAAGUUCUUUAUGUAUUCUGGAUACUAAUCCCUUAUCAAACAUAUGAUUUAAAAAUAUUUUCUCCCAUUCCAUAGGUUGCCUUUUUGUAUAUAUAAAUUUUAAUUAAAAAAUAGCUGAUGAGGAACUUCCCUGGUGGCGCAGUGGUUAAGAAUCCACCUGCCAGUGCAGGGGACACGGGUUCGAUCCCUGGUCCAGGAAGAUCCCACAUGCUGCAGGGCAACUAAGCCUGUGAGCCACAACUACUGAGCCUGCACUCUAGAGCCUGCGAAUCACAAGUACUGAGCCCACGUGCCACAACUCCUGAAGCCCGUGUGCCUAGAGCCCAUGCUGUGCAACAAGAGAAACCACCACAAUGAGAAGCCUGUGCGCCACAACGAAGAGUAGCCCCUGCUCACCACAACUAGAGAGAAAAGCCCGCACCCAGCAAUGAAGACCCAAUGCAGCCAAAUAAAUAAAUAAAUAAAAUUAUUUUUAAAAUAGCUGAUGAAAA
This is a long non-coding RNA of Lagenorhynchus albirostris (white-beaked dolphin), 3826 nucleotides long. RefSeq lists it as uncharacterized. The record is from RefSeq and is a predicted model, not a curated record. The transcript has 10 exons. NCBI's taxonomy places the organism in Eukaryota, Metazoa, Chordata, Mammalia, Artiodactyla, Delphinidae.